UGACUCUAUUCUGGCACAGUGAAGAGACAUGAGAGGUGUAGAAUAAGUGGGAGGCCCCCUUGCAGGGAUGAGUCAGGAGACCCCCUUGCAGGGAUGAGUCAGGACAGUGCUAGGUGGGGAGUUUGACUGGGGCAGUACCUCUGUCAAACAGUAAUGCAGGUGUCCUAAAGUGAGCUAAGGGAGGACAGAAACAUCCCAUGGAGCAGAAGGGCAAAACUUACUUGAUCUUAAUUUUCAGUAUGAAUACAGUCUGAAUAGAUGCAAGUCUGAAA
This is a non-coding RNA of Macaca mulatta (Rhesus monkey), 272 nucleotides long. The record is from Rfam. NCBI's taxonomy places the organism in Eukaryota, Metazoa, Chordata, Mammalia, Primates, Cercopithecidae.